This 443-nucleotide ribosomal RNA is filed under the name uncultured bacterium. Its description in RNAcentral is "partial 16S ribosomal RNA". It matches the Rfam family "Bacterial small subunit ribosomal RNA", at positions 338 to 795 of the family's 1533-position model. The record is from RNAcentral.
CCUACGGGUGGCAGCAGUGGGGAAUAUUGGGCAAUGGGCGCAAGCCUGACGCAGCAACGCCGCGUGAAGGAAGAAGGCUUUCGGGUUGUAAACUUCUUUUCUCAGGGACGAAGAAAGUGACGGUACCUGAGGAAUAAACCACGGCUAACUACGUGCCAGCAGCCGCUGUACUACGUAGGGGGCAAGCGUUAUCCGGAUUUACUGGAUGUAAAGGGAGCGUAGACGGCUAAUCAAGUCAGAAGUGAAAACCCAGGGCUCAACCUUGGGAGUGCAUUUGAAACUGAGUAGCUAGAGUGCAGGAGAGGUGAGCGGAAUUCCUGGUGUAGCGGUGAAAUGCGUAGAUAUUAGGAGGAACACCAGUGGCGAAGGCGGCUUACUGGACUGUAACUGACGUUGAGGCUCGAAAGCGUGGGGAGCAAACAGGAUUAGAUACCCGGGUAGUC